Molecule: long non-coding RNA, 939 nt
Organism: Humulus lupulus (European hop)
Lineage: Eukaryota; Viridiplantae; Streptophyta; Magnoliopsida; Rosales; Cannabaceae
Exons: 3
Source: RefSeq, a predicted model, not a curated record
AGGAGUUACGAAAACAAGAAGUGGGAAAUGUUGGUGAAGCUUUCAGGGAAGAUGGGCUCGACUUCGAUUUGGACGGGGCUAUUUUGUAGCGGAAGCAAUUUCAUUGGGUACUUCAACUUUAUGGGUGACACAUGGUAAAACAUUUGAGACAUGGAUUUUUCCGCUUGCCCAUUUGCUUUGUGGCUAUUGCACAGAUGUAAUUCUAAGAUUAUGCCAGGAGAUUGUGUUUUUGAAAGUUGAAGUUGCAGAGCUUCUAUUAACAAGUAUUUUUGUAAAUCUAGCCAGGAGGAGAGACUUAGAUAUUGAUAUUCAACAAUUGAUAUCCUUGCAGGUAUUUUUUUCUUCUUUCUCUUUUUUCAUUAGUUUUUUUUUUCUGUCAUUUCAUGUAUUGAAACUAUAAUAAUGUUUAAUGAUUGUUGUAAUUUUUUAUUUCUUAAAAAUAAAUGACCUUUGUAUGAAAUUAAAUAUAGGAAACAGAUAACUCUAAGCAACUUAAUCUAGUUCUGAUUUCUAGGAAACAAAAUAAUUUUUAAAACAAGUUUAUCAGAGUCAACAAUCUAUAUAAAAUCUCAUUUUCAUGAUAUGUUUAUGUGUUUUUUUUUACAAUAAUCUAGUUUAUAAACUUUGACAAAAGUUGAAUCUGCCUUAUUCAUCUACUUCUAGAGCAGGAACAGAAAUUCAUUAAUUUUCUCAGUCUAUUUUUUUUAUUCGUUUUUUUACUUUAGUUGAUCCAGAAGCAGUAAUGUAAUGUACCUGAGCACAUUCUAGGUAGAUGUGUAAUUCAUAUUGGGAAAAUUGUUCGAUUGUUAUUAGGUGAACCUUUACUGGUCUUAUGCUGCAUUCUGUUACAUCUGCUCAUUAUUUUUCAUGCAAAUAUGCUAAUGCAACACUUUUUUUUUGUUGGUUUUGCCUUUUUCUUUGGAACUGGCUACAGCAACA